GGGGUUGUGGCUCAGUGGUAGAGCGCUUGCCUAGCAUGCAUGAGGCACCAGGUUCAAUCCCUGGCACCACA
This 71-nucleotide transfer RNA is filed under the name Marmota monax (woodchuck). RNAcentral describes it as "tRNA.Ala". It matches the Rfam family "tRNA". From Rfam's summary of the family: Transfer RNA (tRNA) molecules are approximately 80 nucleotides in length. Their secondary structure includes four short double-helical elements and three loops (D, anti-codon, and T loops). The record is from RNAcentral. Lineage: Eukaryota; Metazoa; Chordata; Mammalia; Rodentia; Sciuridae.